RNAcentral lists this unclassified non-coding RNA (246 nucleotides) under uncultured Borrelia sp. RNAcentral's name for it is "partial 5S-23S ribosomal RNA intergenic spacer". Lineage: Bacteria; Pseudomonadati; Spirochaetota; Spirochaetia; Spirochaetales; Borreliaceae. The record is from RNAcentral.
GAGUUCGCGGGAGAGUAAGUUAUUGCCAGGGUUUUUAUUUUGUACUUCAAACCUUAAAUUUAUUUUUUAUAUUUUUUAAAUGUUCAUGUUUUUGAAUGUUUUAUUCAAAUAAUGUAAAAAAUAAAAUAGAUAUUGACAUGGAUUGAACAAAAGAUAUAUAUUAUUUUAUGUUGCAUAAACAAAUUGGCAAAAUAGAGAUGGAAGAUAAAAAUAUGGUCAAAGUAAUAAGAGUCUAUGGUGAAUGCC